UCCCGAAACUUUUGGUAUGGGAUUCAGUUUCGAUAAACCUUUAGUUCGGUAAUCCCGAACCGAACAACAAUAUAUUAAUAUAUAAUAUGUAUUUAAUUCAAGUUAGAAAUUAUAAACUAUCUGGACCAUUGGAUUGGUUGAGAUUUAAUCUCAACUGUCCAACCUAAGUUAUAGGGUUUAACACUCUCACUCUCUCACAUUUCUUACUGAAGCCUUAACCCUCAACCCUUUCAUCUCUCUCGAGUUCUCACUUCUUCGCCUCUGUUCUCUCCUCUGCCUCUGCAUUUUUGAGGUUAGGGGCUAUGACUAUUGCCAUAACAACUGCCUCUUCAUGUCCUAUAGUUGUUGCCCUUUAUUCCCUCUCUUCUUUUUCCUCCUCUGUAUCUUUUCGAUUCCCAAAACCCCAAAAUAGCUCUUCUUUCAUUUGCGUCAUCUUUGCUCAACCCAAAUCCUCUGUUCCUCGCUACAAGCUUCGCCAACCUGCCAUCGUCGCAUCGGAGCAAAAACCAUCCUUUCAGAGUGAUGAUGCAAUUUGGCUUCAUAUGAAUUGGAUUUGGGCAUAAAGGAUCAAUCCCAAUCCGUCCCGAUAUCCCGAAAAAAAUUUUGGGCAUCCCGAAGUUCAGAAAUCUCAAAAAUUCGGUUCGGUUUCGGGAUUUGAAAUCCCGUUCUGAAAUAUUUCGAUUUGGAAAUCGAGAUGGUGGUUUCUGUUCGGUAUCCCACAUCGAACCAGCCUUCAAUUGGUAUAGAAGAUUGAAUUAAAUUGGAAAAUCAAUUUUUUUUUAAACAAAUGAUAUUAUCCACACUAAAAAAAGACAAGGGUGGGCUUAGCUUUAUAAUGAGCUAGUAAUAAUAUGGUUCAAAUCUAUCUUUGACGAGAAUUGAAUCUAAAUCCUCUCACUAACAAGUGAAGAGGAAUAUUGAUGAGUCCAUACUAUAACAUAUAUUUUAUCCUAAUCUUAGUAUUAAUUUAAUAGUUAUUUUGGUAGAAUUUUGAUACUUUGUUAUAUAUUUUCUAUGUAGGACAUUCGAAUUCCUCUGGAGCAAAAAGUGAUCACACGGAUGAAUUUUGGAGUAAUUCCAAUUGGAGGAUGUUUGUGAGUCUUUCUAGAUGUUUAUAUCAAAAUUCCAAAUUUUUCUACCAAGUCGUUUGGCCGUAGCAAAGAAAUGAAGGCCUAGCGCGCAGCUUUUCCAGAUUGACGUUUUUGGACAUUUUGGGUAUUUUGGAGGUCAAGAUGGCGUAUUUCGAGGAAGAUUCCUGCUGAGAAUUUGUAGGAGACGUCUUCAGCUUUAAAAAGAGACGUUCUUGGGACCAAAUCGGAGUUGAUUUGGUUAGUCAAAACUGUGAUUUUCUAAGAACUCCAAAUUCUAAUUCAAAUAGAAAACCUUUUAUUUUCUGUUUUAUUAUUUAAUUAUGUUUCCUAGUUCUACCCUAAGACUUUUUAGGGUUUUAUUUUGUAUUAGUAUAAAUAAUGCUUGUUAGCCAUUAGGGUUCUCUAGGCAACAUUGGGAGGAACGUACGUGGAGAAUUUAGCUAGACUUUGACGCUUUGUAUUUUAAAGGUGUUUUCUAUCCUUUUUCUAUUUCAAUAAAUUCCUUUUGUUUUA
Long non-coding RNA from Pyrus x bretschneideri (Chinese white pear), 1604 nucleotides. RefSeq lists it as uncharacterized. The record is from RefSeq and is a predicted model, not a curated record. Lineage: Eukaryota; Viridiplantae; Streptophyta; Magnoliopsida; Rosales; Rosaceae. The transcript has 2 exons.